AGGUGCUGCAUGGCUGUCGUCAGCUCGUGUCGUGAGAUGGUUGGGUUAACGUCCCGCAACGAGCGCAACCCUCGUCCUAGUUGCUAACGGUUCGGCCGAGCACUCUAGGGAGACUGCCUUCGCAAGGAGGAGGAAGGUGAGGACGACGUCAAGUCAUCAUGGCCCUUACGGCCAGGGCUACGCACGUGCUACAAUGGGGCGUACAGAGAGCUGCGAUACCGCGAGGUGGAGCCAAUCUCUUAAAGCGUCUCUCAGUUCGGAUUGUUCUCUGCAACUCGAGAACAUGAAGCUGGAAUCACUAGUAAUCGCAGAUCAGCUAUGCUGCGGUGAAUACGUUCCCGGGUCUU
Molecule: ribosomal RNA, 347 nt
Filed under: uncultured Sulfuricurvum sp.
Lineage: Bacteria; Pseudomonadati; Campylobacterota; Epsilonproteobacteria; Campylobacterales; Sulfurimonadaceae
Description: bacterial SSU rRNA
Rfam family: Bacterial small subunit ribosomal RNA
Source: RNAcentral